CAAGGAAUUUUCCCCAAUGGGCGCAGGCCUGAGGGAGCAACGCCGCGUGCAGGACGACGGCUUUCGGGUUGUAAACUGCUUUUGCGUGGGACGAUAACGACGGUACCACGCGAAUAAGCCCCGGCUAACUCUGUGCCAGCAGCCGCGGUAAUACAGAGGGGGCAAGCGUUGUUCGGAAUUACUGGGCGUAAAGCGCGCGUAGGCGGACUGGUCAGUUGGGGGUGAAAUCCCGGGGCUCAACCUCGGAACUGCCUUCAAUACUGCCAGUCUCGAGUCCGGAAGAGGUGAGUGGAAUUCCUAGUGUAGAGGUGAAAUUCGUAGAUAUUAGGAAGAACACCAGUGGCGAAGGCGGCUCACUGGUCCGGUACUGACGCUGAGGUGCGAAAGCGUGGGGAGCAAACAGGAUUAGAUACCCCCGUAGUCC
RNAcentral lists this ribosomal RNA (424 nucleotides) under uncultured prokaryote. RNAcentral's name for it is "bacterial SSU rRNA". It matches the Rfam family "Bacterial small subunit ribosomal RNA", at positions 355 to 796 of the family's 1533-position model. The record is from RNAcentral.